RNAcentral lists this small RNA (107 nucleotides) under Marmota monax (woodchuck). The record is from RNAcentral. Lineage: Eukaryota; Metazoa; Chordata; Mammalia; Rodentia; Sciuridae.
GCUGGGUGUGGUGGUGCUCACCUGUCAUUCUGGCUAUUUGGGAGGCUGAGGCAGGAGGACUGCAAGUCUGAGACCAGCCUGGGCAAUUUAGCAAGACCCUGCCUCAA